GACGAACGCUGGCGGCGUGCUUAACACAUGCCAGUCGAACGAAGAGCGAUGGACGCUUGCUUCUAUCAAUCUUAGUGGCGAACGGGUGAGUAACGCGUAAUCAACCUGCCCUUCAGAGGGGGACAACAGUUGGAAACGACUGCUAAUACCGCAUACGAUCUAACCUCGGCAUCGAGGAUGGAUGAAAGGUGGCCUCUAUUUAUAAGCUAUCACUGAAGGAGGGGAUUGCGUCUGAUUAGCUAGUUGGAGGGGUAACGGCCCACCAAGGCGAUGAUCAGUAGCCGGUCUGAGAGGAUGAACGGCCACAUUGGGACUGAGACACGGCCCAGACUCCUACGGGAGGCAGCAGUGGGGAAUCUUCCGCAAUGGACGAAAGUCUGACGGAGCAACGCCGCGUGAGUGAUGACGGCCUUUGGGUUGUAAAGCUCUGUUAAUCGGGACGAAAGGCCUUCUUGCGAAUAGCUAGAAGGAUUGACGGUACCGGAAGAGAAAGCCACGGCUAACUACGUG
Molecule: ribosomal RNA, 510 nt
Filed under: uncultured bacterium
Lineage: Bacteria
Description: partial 16S ribosomal RNA
Rfam family: Bacterial small subunit ribosomal RNA
Source: RNAcentral